RNAcentral lists this ribosomal RNA (843 nucleotides) under Neofusicoccum parvum. RNAcentral describes it as "eukaryotic LSU rRNA". It matches the Rfam family "Eukaryotic large subunit ribosomal RNA", at positions 70 to 931 of the family's 3401-position model. The record is from RNAcentral. Lineage: Eukaryota; Fungi; Ascomycota; Dothideomycetes; Botryosphaeriales; Botryosphaeriaceae.
AGGGAUUGCCUUAGUAACGGCGAGUGAAGCGGCAAUAGCUCAAAUUUGAAAGCUGGCCCCUUCGGGGUCCGCGUUGUAAUUUGUAGAGGAUGAUUCGGCGAGGGCUCCCGUCUAAGUCCCUUGGAACAGGGCGUCAUAGAGGGUGAGAAUCCCGUAUGUGAUGGGCUGCCUUAGCCAUGUGAAUCUCCUUCGACGAGUCGAGUUGUUUGGGAAUGCAGCUCUAAAUGGGAGGUAAAUUUCUUCUAAAGCUAAAUACCGGCCAGAGACCGAUAGCGCACAAGUAGAGUGAUCGAAAGAUGAAAAGCACUUUGGAAAGAGAGUUAAAAAGUACGUGAAAUUGUUGAAAGGGAAGCGCUUGCAGCCAGACUUGUCCGCAGUUGCUCAGCUUGUCUCCUGACAGGCGUACUCUUCUGCGGCCAGGCCAGCAUCAGUUCGGGCGGUCGGAUAAAGACCUGGGGAAUGUAGCUCCUCUCGGGGAGUGUUAUAGCCCUGGGUGCAAUGCGGCCAGCCUGGACUGAGGAUCUCGCUUCGGCUAGGAUGCUGGCGUAAUGGCUGUAAGCGGCCCGUCUUGAAACACGGACCAAGGAGUCUAACAUCUAUGCGAGUGUUUGGGUGUCAAACCCAUGCGCGUAAUGAAAGUGAACGGAGGUGGGAACCCUCACGGGUGCACCAUCGACCGAUCCUGAUGUCUUCGGAUGGAUUUGAGUAAGAGCAUAGCUGUUGGGACCCGAAAGAUGGUGAACUAUGCCUGAAUAGGGUGAAGCCAGAGGAAACUCUGGUGGAGGCUCGCAGCGGUUCUGACGUGCAAAUCGAUCGUCAAAUUUGGGUAUAGGGGCGAAAGAC